Molecule: ribosomal RNA, 378 nt
Filed under: uncultured bacterium
Lineage: Bacteria
Description: bacterial SSU rRNA
Rfam family: Bacterial small subunit ribosomal RNA
Source: RNAcentral
UAAGACGAACCGUGCGAACGUUAUUCGGAAUCACUGGGCUUAAAGCGCGUGUAGGCGGCCCGGAGCAUCGUCGGCUGAAAUCCCCCGGCUCAACCGGGGAACGGGCCACGAGAUGUCCGGGCUGGAGGGGGGUAGGGGGAGCCGGAACUCACGGUGGAGCGGUGAAAUGCGUUGAGAUCGUGAGGAACGCCCGUGGCGAAAGCGGGCUCCUGGACCCCACCUGACGCUGAGACGCGAAAGCCAGGGGAGCGAACGGGAUUAGAUACCCCGGUAGUCCUGGCCGUAAACCAUGAGCACUGGGUAGGGGGCUCGCCGAUGGGCUCCCUGCCGCAGCGAAAGCGUGAAGUGCUCCGCCUGGGGAGUAUGGUCGCAAGGCUG